Molecule: ribosomal RNA, 467 nt
Filed under: uncultured bacterium
Lineage: Bacteria
Description: partial 16S ribosomal RNA
Rfam family: Bacterial small subunit ribosomal RNA
Source: RNAcentral
GAUGAACGCUGGCGGCGUGCUUAACACAUGCAAGUCGAACGGAAAGGCCCAAGCUUGCUUGGGUACUCGAGUGGCGAACGGGUGAGUAACACGUGGGUGAUCUGCCCUGCACUUCGGGAUAAGCCUGGGAAACUGGGUCUAAUACUGGAUAGGACCACUUCUUGGAUGUUGUGGUGGAAAGUUUUUUCAGUGUGGGAUGAGCUCGCGGCCUAUCAGCUUGUUGGUGGGGUAAUGGCCUACCAAGGCGUCGACGGGUAGCCGGCCUGAGAGGGUGUACGGCCACAUUGGGACUGAGAUACGGCCCAGACUCCUACGGGAGGCAGCAGUGGGGAAUAUUGCACAAUGGGCGCAAGCCUGAUGCAGCGACGCCGCGUGGGGGAUGACGGCCUUCGGGUUGUAAACUCCUUUCGCUAGGGACGAAGCGUUUUGUGACGGUACCUGGAGAAGAAGCACCGGCUAACUACGUG